UCUCUCAAAUUCGUCCAUCUAUAGACAUCAUUAAGAGAGAAUUUACGAAAAUUAUUCUGGGCAAAGGAAACAUUAUGAUUGGAGCCUAUGAUAUGCAUCAUGUCUUCCUUGACUUCGACAACAUCGAAGACCACCUCAAUGUGCUAUCUAGAAAUUUAUCCAUUUAGGUCGCCUAAAUAUUAUGAAAAUUAUGAAAUGGUCGAUGACCUUCAAACCUAACUCUGACAACUCUCUUACCUCAGUGUAGGUAAAUCUAUCCGAAUCGAAAUGACACCUCUAUGAGUGGGAUGCCAUUUGUAGAAUCCUUGAACCGAUUGGGACUUCUUUAUUGCUGGAUAAAGCCACCCUAGUCAAAACAAGACCCACCACCGCGAAAGUGAGGGUGGAAAUGGGUCUGACCUAACUCUCAAUCAACAAAGUGAUCUUGGAAAUUACUAACAGUGAUAGACUAACUGAGAUGAUCAACUAAAGAGUAAAGUAUGAAACUAUCCCAGCUUUUUUCUCGCAUUGUAAAAUACAAGGUCAUAGUGAUGAAAAGUGCAGAAAUCUCCCUCCUAAAUUAAACACGAACAAGGCGAAGAAUAUGUUCAGAGAGCAGAAGACAUUACAAGCUACCACCAAUAAGGAAGCUACAACUACCAGUGAUUUGAUGGAGAGCACAAACCAAAUCUCAGAGAUAAGUUCAGAAGCCAACAAUGGGGAAGAAGAAUGACAGACAUUUACCAACAAGAAAGGAAAAGGCUCUAACAAGAACAACUCAAAUGGAAAGAUAACUCAACCAAAUCAGUAAGAGGAACAAGUAGUAGCUCAAAGAUGCAGGUUACUACCCACAUGGAGACAUCACUAGAGGAAAUGAGAUGUUCCAGGAGAAGCACUUUGAGAACCCAUACUAAGAGAGGGGGAAAAAGUUGAAAGAAAAGAAAGAAAUCCCAACACCUCCAAAUAAUCAAAAACGACAUGAUGAAGGUGAAACACAACAAGGAAAUCUUAUACUCUAAGGUAAUCAGAACGCCAGUAAACUUGUUGAGGUGCUUCACUCUAAUAAAACCAAGGUUCUCAGCAAGAAAAAGAUACAUCUGUUCGGGUUCAUUCAUGUCCAAUAAACUUCAAACAAAAGGAGAUUCGAGUAUUUUUCACCACGGUGAAACUCCCUCCAGAUUUAGUCUUUGAUAACAAAGAAACGGUCUUAGUGGAGGUCCACCAACAUAGAUCAUGAACCUCUCCCCUUGUUGGGUUGAAUCAGAAUCUAUUAGAGAAUAUAAGAGGGAGGAAGGCUAAAGAAAAAGAAUAGUGGAGCUUUCCUGAUGACCUAAAAUUUGGAAAUAAGGCUAUCCAAGUUGAAACCAUUAAUGCAAACUUCAAUGAGCUCCAUGAAGACUCUGCUUUCAAAGAUUGUGAAGAAGAUUUGUACAUGAUCAAUGUAGAGGAAAACUACUCAACAAUCCUCUCUACUGAUGAAGUUAUCAGGAGAGACAGACUUUCUCAUCUAACAUGUGCAGUUGUUGAUCAAUCUAACCAGGUUCAUCCCAAGGUGGAAUACUAUAACAACCUCUCCCCUAGAGGAAGAAGUAAUUUUCGAAAUAAAAGCCCCUUCCCCCCCACCAUUUUCCAUGAUUAAUACUCUAUCAUGGAAUAUCAGGGAAGUAGGAUCCCAAGGUUCUCUUAAGAGACUUAAAAAUCUCAAACAUCAACAUAAUUUUCCCUACAUGUUCAUACAAGAACCGAAGGUGAACUCGAGGAAAAUUGAUAAAUUCAAAAGGAUAUUAAGGGUUAUGAAGGAUAAGAGAAAGCAGCUUUCAAUUCACAAGAUCAACUAUCAAGAGGACAAUUGGGUAGAAGGAACUCCUUAGAUUGUUGAUGUUGCAGUCACGUUUUACACCAAUCUUUUCAAAGAUGAUCUUACUGAGGAGGAUAGUAAUAUUUUUAAUCUUGUGGAAGAGGUUGCCAUCAAUGAAGAUAGCAUCAACUUUAUCAA
Molecule: long non-coding RNA, 1975 nt
Organism: Solanum dulcamara
Lineage: Eukaryota; Viridiplantae; Streptophyta; Magnoliopsida; Solanales; Solanaceae
Exons: 2
Source: RefSeq, a predicted model, not a curated record